Molecule: ribosomal RNA, 519 nt
Filed under: Solheimia costispora
Lineage: Eukaryota; Fungi; Ascomycota; Sordariomycetes; Hypocreales
Description: eukaryotic LSU rRNA
Rfam family: 5.8S ribosomal RNA (bases 177-330)
Source: RNAcentral
CAUUACCGAGUUUACAACUCCCAAACCCCAAUGUGAACCGUACCAAACGUUGCCUCGGCGGACCGCCCCGGCGCCGCCCCUCCGGGGGAGGCCCGGAACCAGGCGCCCGCCACAGGGACCCAAACCUCUGUUUUGUUUAUGGUUCUCCUCUGAGUGGAUUUUUACAAAUAAAUCAAAACUUUCAACAACGGAUCUCUUGGCUCUGGCAUCGAUGAAGAACGCAGCGAAAUGCGAUAAGUAAUGUGAAUUGCAGAAUUCAGUGAAUCAUCGAAUCUUUGAACGCACAUUGCGCCCGCCAGCAUUCUGGCGGGCAUGCCUGUCCGAGCGUCAUUUCAACCCUCAGGCUCCCGCGCCUGGCGUUGGGGAUCGGCCCUCACCGGCCGGCCCCGAAAUACAGUGGCGGCCCCGCCGUAGACCUCCUCUGCGUAGUAGCACAACCUCGCAGCCUGGGAGCGCGGCGGCGGCCACGCCGGAAAACCCCCGACUUCUGAAAGUUGACCUCGGGAUCAGGUAGCCCGU